CGGCAAUGGAGGAAACUCUGACCGAGCAACGCCGCGUGAACGACGAAGUACUUUGGUAUGUAAAGUUCUUUUAUCAAGGAAGAAAAGCAAGUGGCGAACCAUUUGUUUGCCGGUACUUGAUGAAUAAGCCCCGGCUAAUUAUGUGCCAGCAGCCGCGGUAAGACAUAAGGGGCAAGUGUUAUCCGGAAUUAUUGGGCGUAAAGGGUGCGUAGGCGGUCUAGUAAGUCAGUGGUGUAAUGGCAACGCUCAACGUUGUCCGGCUAUUGAAACUGCUAAACUUGAGUUAGAUAGAGGCGAGUGGAAUUCCAUGUGUAGCGGUAAAAUGCGUAAAUAUAUGGAGGAACACCAGAGGCGUAGGCGGCUCGCUGGGUCUUAACUGACGCUGAGGCACGAAAGCGUGGGGAGCAAACAGGAUUAGAUACCCUGGUAGUCCACGCCGUAAACGAUGAGUACUAAGUGUCGGGUUAAACCGGUACUGAAGUUAACACAUUAAGUACUCCGCCUGAGUAGUACGUACGCAAGUAUGAAACUUAAAGGAAUUGACGGGACUCCGCACAAGCGGUGGAUCAUGUUGUUUAAUUCGAAGAUACCCGAAAAACCUUACCAGGUCUUGACAUGUUUUUGCGAAACGGUAGUAAUAUCGUAGAGGUUAUCAGAAACACAGGUGGUGCAUGGUUGUCGUCAGCUCGUGUCGUGAGAUGUUAGGUUAAGUCCUAAAACGAGCGAAACCCUUAUCGUUAGUUGCCAGCACGUUAUGGUGGGGACUUUAACGAGACUGCCAGUGAUAAACUGGAGGAAGGUGAGGAUCACGUCAAAUCAGCAUGCCCCUUAUGACCUGGGCUACAAACGUGAUACAAUGGCUGUUACAAAGAGUAGCUGAA
This 881-nucleotide ribosomal RNA is filed under the name Rhododendron phytoplasma w10774. Its description in RNAcentral is "bacterial SSU rRNA". It matches the Rfam family "Bacterial small subunit ribosomal RNA", at positions 366 to 1254 of the family's 1533-position model. Lineage: Bacteria; Bacillati; Mycoplasmatota; Mollicutes; Acholeplasmatales; Acholeplasmataceae. The record is from RNAcentral.